CAUUAAGAAGCUUUCAUGGAGAAGCAAUAGCCUUUUAAGCUAAAGAUCGGUGA
RNAcentral lists this transfer RNA (53 nucleotides) under Pachytriton feii. RNAcentral describes it as "tRNA-Lys". The record is from RNAcentral. Lineage: Eukaryota; Metazoa; Chordata; Amphibia; Caudata; Salamandridae.